UGUUGAAAUGCAGAUUCCUCAGCAUUUCCCCCCAAGAUUCCUGCUCAUUAAAUCCUGGGUGUAGUCCUGGAAUCUGCAUUUUAACAACUGCCUCGAGUGAUUCAGACCCAU
This 111-nucleotide microRNA precursor is filed under the name Myotis lucifugus (little brown bat). RNAcentral's name for it is "miRNA (ENSMLUG00000020576.1)". Lineage: Eukaryota; Metazoa; Chordata; Mammalia; Chiroptera; Vespertilionidae. The record is from RNAcentral.